This 116-nucleotide small RNA is filed under the name Sinorhizobium meliloti 2011. RNAcentral describes it as "putative ncRNA". Lineage: Bacteria; Pseudomonadati; Pseudomonadota; Alphaproteobacteria; Hyphomicrobiales; Rhizobiaceae. The record is from RNAcentral.
GUGUAACCGCCGUCGAUCAUGAGGUUCGCGCCGUUGACCAUCGCGGCCGCGCCGCCGGCGAGGUAGAGUACCGAUGCGGCGAUCUCCCAUGGCUUGGCGAAGCGCCGCGUCGGGAU